This 69-nucleotide transfer RNA is filed under the name Rediviva intermixta. RNAcentral describes it as "tRNA-Cys". The record is from RNAcentral. Lineage: Eukaryota; Metazoa; Arthropoda; Insecta; Hymenoptera; Melittidae.
AUUUCAAUAGUUUUUAAAACAUUAAAUUGCAAAUUUAAAGUUAUUAUAUUAUAUUAUAUAUUUGAAAUU